CCUCAGCCUCGGCCGGCGUCCGUAGCCGGGAAACCCGGAGUCUGGCGCUCUAGCUUGGGGUCCGGCGAUGUCGGGUGAAGACGUCCCGCACCGGGCCGAGUCCUCCGAGGCCCGUGCGGCCGCGGUCAGCGACAUCCAGGAGCUGAUGCGACGCAAGGAGGAGAUCGAGGCGCAGAUCAAGGCUAACUACGACAUCCUGGAGAGCCAAAAAGGAAUUGGCAUGAACGAGCCGCUGGUGGACUGUGAGGGCUACCCCCGGGCGGAUGUGGACUUGUACCAGGUCCGAACAGCAAGACACAACGUUAUCUGUCUCCAGAAUGAUCACAAGGCACUGAUGAAGCAAGUGGAGGAGGCCCUGCACCAGCUACACGCUCGGGACAAAGAGAAGCAGGCUCGGGACAUGGCUGAAGCCCGAGAAGAGGCCAUGAACUGCAGGCUGGGCUCCAGCAGCCCUGCCCCGCCCCAGGCCUUUGCCAGAGUGAACAGUAUCAGCCCUGGUUCCCCAGCCAGUAUUGCGGGCCUGCAAGUGGAUGACGAAAUUGUAGAGUUCGGCUCCGUGAACACCCAAAACUUUCAGUCACUGCAGAACGUGGGCACUGUGGUGCAGCAUAGCGAGGGGAAGCCGCUGAGUGUGACGGUGAUCCGCAGAGGAGAGAAGCGCCAGCUCAGACUGAUUCCAACCCGCUGGGCAGGAAAAGGACUGCUGGGCUGCAACAUUAUUCCUCUCCAGAGAUGACUGUGUCCGGGGAUCUGCGGGAAAGCUGCCUCAGCUGGCCCUGUGCUUGGGCCUGGGAGGGGUUUCCUCAUUUUCUAGGCUCCCUCAAGUUUACCUCCCCAGUUGCCUCUCGUUUCUGUUUUGGAUGUCUGGCCCUUUCUACAAGGAAGCUUGCAUCCUUGGAUUGGAUUUGCGCGCACGGGAUGGAGGCAGAGACCAGCUUUCUCUGAUGGCAGUCAGUACUGACAUGCACUUCCUGCUUUGACUCCGCACAGGCAACUGGAAAGUCUCCCCUAAGCUGCUUUGUCCAAACAGCCUCACGCCACCCCUCUCCCAUAGCCAGACUGGCUCUGUUGACUGGUGUUUUCUGUUUCAAUUGUGGGUUAUAAAUCCAAGUAUUUUCCAGACUCUUUAUAAGUCCCAUACUGUAAUAAAACACAGCUUGUACCAUUCAGUGCAUCCUCUUUGAGAUAUGCAUCUGAUCACCAGCACUGGGGUGUUGGUGGUGGACUUUUCGGGAGUCGUUCAUAUUCUCUCAAAGAGGCUUCAACAGGCCUUGGACUGCUCAGAAAGCCACCUUUGGACUCCUCUAUGACUUGCUUCAACAGGAAUAACGCUAAUGGAUUUAACCAAGCUGGGCUUGUGUGGUAACAGCAUGAUCGUGCACUCUCCACAUAGCUUCAAUCCCAGUUUACUAAACUUCUCUGCCUGCUGUGCCCCUGGUGAGAAGGUGGGCAAUUGGGUGUAACAUCUGUGA
RNA transcript from Mus pahari (shrew mouse), 1472 nucleotides. It is a transcript of the gene named proteasome 26S subunit, non-ATPase 9, with no coding region annotated. NCBI's taxonomy places the organism in Eukaryota, Metazoa, Chordata, Mammalia, Rodentia, Muridae. The transcript has 7 exons. The record is from RefSeq and is a predicted model, not a curated record.